GUAGAGCACUGUUUGGACUAGGGGCCCUUCUCGGGUUACCGAAUUCAGAUAAACUCCGAAUGCCAUGUACUUAUACUCGGGAGUCAGACUGCGAGUGAUAAGAUCCGUAGUCGAAAGGGAAACAGCCCAGACCACCAGUUAAGGUCCCCAAAUAUAUGUUAAGUGGAAAAGGAUGUGGGGUUGCUUAGACAACCAGGAUGUUGGCUUAGAAGCAGCCACCAUUGAAAGAGUGCGUAAUAGCUCACUGGUCGAGUGACCCCGCGCCGAAAAUGUACCGGGGCUAAACAUAUUACCGAAACUGUGGAUGAACCUCUUUAGAGGUUCGUGGUAGGAGAGCGUUCUAAGGGCGGUGAAGUCAGACCGGAAGGACUGGUGGAGCGCUUAGAAGUGAGAAUGCCGGUAUGAGUAGCGAAAGAAGGGUGAGAAUCCCUUCCACCGAAUAUCUAAGGUUUCCUGAGGAAGGCUCGUCCGCUCAGGGUUAGUCGGGACCUAAGCCGAGGCCGAUAGGCGUAGGCGAUGGACAACAGGUAGAGAUUCCUGUACCAGUGCUAAUUGUUUAACCGAUGGGGUGACACAGAAGGAUAGGGAAUCGCACGAAUGGAAAUGUGCGUCCAAGCAGUGAGUGUGAGAAGUAGGCAAAUCCGCUUCUCGCGAAGCAUGAGCUGUGAUGGGGAAGGAAAUUAAGUACGGAAGUUCCUGAUUUCACGCUGUCAAGAAAAGCCUCUAGGAAGAGUAGUACUGCCCGUACCGCAAACCGACACAGGUAGAUGAGGAGAGAAUCCUAAGGUGAGCGAGAGAACUCUCGUUAAGGAACUCGGCAAAAUGACCCCGUAACUUCGGGAGAAGGGGUGCUCUAUUAGGGUGCAAGCCCGAGAGAGCCGCAGUGAAUAGGCCCAGGCGACUGUUUAGCAAAAACACAGGUCUCUGCAAAACCGUAAGGUGACGUAUAGGGGCUGACGCCUGCCCGGUGCUGGAAGGUUAAGAGGAGUGCUUAGCUUCGGCGAAGGUACGAAUUGAAGCCCCAGUAAACGGCGGCCGUAACUAUAACGGUCCUAAGGUAGCGAAAUUCCUUGUCGGGUAAGUUCCGACCCGCACGAAAGGCGCAACGAUCUGGGCACUGUCUCAACGAGAGACUCGGUGAAAUUAUAGUACCUGUGAAGAUGCAGGUUACCCGCGACAGGACGGAAAGACCCCGUGGAGCUUUACUGCAACCUGAUAUGGAAUGUUUGUACCGCUUGUACAGGAUAGGUAGGAGCCGAAGAGACGUGUGCGCUAGCAUACGAGGAGGCAAUGGUGGGAUACUACCCUGGCUGUAUGACCAUUCUAACCCGCCACGCUUAGCGCGUGGGGAGACAGUGUCAGGUGGGCAGUUUGACUGGGGCGGUCGCCUCCUAAAGAGUAACGGAGGCGCCCAAAGGUUCCCUCAGAAUGGAUGGAAAUCAUUCGCAGAGUGUAAAGGCACAAGGGAGCUUGACUGCGAGACUGACAAGUCGAGCAGGGACGAAAGUCGGGCUUAGUGAUCCGGUGGUUCCGCAUGGAAGGGCCAUCGCUCAACGGAUAAAAGCUACCCCGGGGAUAACAGGCUUAUCUCCCCCAAGAGUCCACAUCGACGGGGAGGUUUGGCACCUCGAUGUCGGCUCGUCGCAUCCUGGGGCUGUAGUCGGUCCCAAGGGUUGGGCUGUUCGCCCAUUAAAGCGGCACGCGAGCUGGGUUCAGAACGUCGUGAGACAGUUCGGUCCCUAUCCGUCGCGGGCGCAGGAAAUUUGAGAGGAGCUGUCCUUAGUACGAGAGGACCGGGAUGGACACACCGCUGGUGUACCAGUUGUUCCGCCAGGAGCAUCGCUGGGUAGCUAUGUGUGGCAGGGAUAAACGCUGAAAGCAUCUAAGCGUGAAGCCCCCCUCAAGAUGAGAUUUCCCAUUUCUUCGGAAAGUAAGAUCCCUGAAAGAUGAUCAGGUAGAUAGGU
Molecule: ribosomal RNA, 1964 nt
Filed under: Listeria monocytogenes
Lineage: Bacteria; Bacillati; Bacillota; Bacilli; Caryophanales; Listeriaceae
Description: partial 23S ribosomal RNA
Rfam family: Bacterial large subunit ribosomal RNA
Source: RNAcentral